Molecule: ribosomal RNA, 253 nt
Filed under: uncultured bacterium
Lineage: Bacteria
Description: partial 16S ribosomal RNA
Rfam family: Bacterial small subunit ribosomal RNA
Source: RNAcentral
UACGUAGGGACCGAGCGUUGUCCGGAUUCAUUGGGCGUAAAGAGCUCGUAGGCGGCCACUCAAGUCGAAUGUGAAACCUCGAGGCUUAACCUCGAGCCUGCAUUUGAUACUGGGCGGCUAGAGUCUGGUAGGGGGAUCUGGAAUUCCUGGUGUAGCGGUGGAAUGCGCAGAUAUCAGGAGGAACACCGGUGGCGAAGGCGGCAUCCUGGACCAACACUGACACUGAGGAGCGAAAGCCAGGGGAGCAAACGGG